This 68-nucleotide transfer RNA is filed under the name Pseudothyrsocera sinensis. RNAcentral's name for it is "tRNA-Trp". Lineage: Eukaryota; Metazoa; Arthropoda; Insecta; Blattodea; Blattellidae. RNAcentral also lists the same sequence under 1 other name. The record is from RNAcentral.
AAGGCUUUAAGUUAAAGCAAACUAAUAACCUUCAAAGCUAUAAAUAAAGAAAUAUUCUUUAAGCCUUA